RNAcentral lists this ribosomal RNA (499 nucleotides) under uncultured bacterium. Its description in RNAcentral is "partial 16S ribosomal RNA". It matches the Rfam family "Bacterial small subunit ribosomal RNA", at positions 28 to 507 of the family's 1533-position model. The record is from RNAcentral.
GACGAACGCUGGCGGCGUGCCUAAUACAUGCAAGUCGAGCGAAGUUUUUCUGGUGCUUGCACUAGAAAAACUUAGCGGCGAACGGGUGAGUAACACGUAAAGAACCUGCCUCAUAGACUGGGACAACUAUUGGAAACGAUAGCUAAUACCGGAUAACAGUAUUUCUCGCAUGGGAGAUAUUUAAAAGUUGGUUAUGCUAACACUAUGAGAUGGCUUUGCGGUGCAUUAGCUAGUUGGUGGGGUAAAGGCCCACCAAGGCGACGAUGCAUAGCCGACCUGAGAGGGUGAUCGGCCACACUGGGACUGAGACACGGCCCAGACUCCUACGGGAGGCAGCAGUAGGGAAUCUUCCGCAAAGGGCGAAAGCCUGACGGAGCAACGCCGCGUGAGUGAAGAAGGAUUUCGGUUCGUAAAGCUCUGUUGUUAGGGAAGAAUGGAUAUGUAGUAACUAUACAUGUAAGAGACGGUACCUAGCCAGAAAGCCACGGCUAACUACGUG